AACGUUAGCCACAUCGUUCUUUUUUUGUAACGGAGAAUUGAGUUAGGGACUAAAACCAAACGAAAUUCAACAUAUAGGGACUCACAAAAAAAAAUACAAGGACCAAAAUCAAAAUACUAUUAAAGUAAAAUGUUCAUAGUCAAACACAAACAAUUUGAAUUAUGCAUACUAAAACUCGAUCCUUUAAGAUGCGCAAAGAAAAAGUAAACUCAAAUAUAAAACUCAAUUCAAAGUAAAGCUUAAGGGACAAGCAACGAAAC
Molecule: long non-coding RNA, 260 nt
Filed under: Lathyrus oleraceus (garden pea)
Lineage: Eukaryota; Viridiplantae; Streptophyta; Magnoliopsida; Fabales; Fabaceae
Description: Pisum sativum (pea) long non-coding RNA (PSAT_LNC015923)
Source: RNAcentral